This 326-nucleotide ribosomal RNA is filed under the name uncultured eukaryote. Its description in RNAcentral is "partial 18S ribosomal RNA". It matches the Rfam family "Eukaryotic small subunit ribosomal RNA", at positions 1470 to 1796 of the family's 1831-position model. The record is from RNAcentral.
CCCUUAGAUGUUCUGGGCCGCACGCGCGCUACACUGAUGCAUUCAACGAGCCUAGCCUUGACCGAGAGGUCCGGGUAAUCUUUGAAACUGCAUCGUGAUGGGGCUAGAUUAUUGCAAUUAUUAAUCUUCAACGAGGAAUGCCUAGUAAGCGUGAUUCAUCAAAUCGCGUUGAUUACGUCCCUGCCCUUUGUACACACCGCCCGUCGCUCCUACCGAUUGAGUGUGUUGGUGAGGAGCUCGGAUUGGCAGCAGGUGGUGGUUCGCCACCGCCUAUUGCUGAGAAGUCCUCCAAACCGCCCCACUUAGAGGAAGGAGAANUCGUAACA